CAUCCGCAUUUGAUCAGAUUGUUGAACCCUGUGGACAUUAAAACAAGGGACGGACGUAAAUCAUCCACAGCGAAUUUUGCUUAUACACGUCAAAGUCUUUGAAACUGAUAUGAUUAAAGGGGUGCAAGUCGAUCAUUUUGGUCGAUGAUAUCGGCACUAGCAGACCAAGGUAAUCACCGGAAACGGCCAUUUGUUGACGUGAACGACGGCACCGCGUCCACCCAUUUUUACGAGGACGUGUAAACCUGACAACAAUACAAAAGAAGGAAAGAAAAAGGAAGAAAAAAUCGAAAAAGAUGUUGAGAUGACAGACGGCAAAAAGUUGUUGGCCCAAGAGCUGAUGGUGUAUAGGUCAAUGAGAUUUGAUUGCAACGUGACCUUUAAGAGCCUUGUUUCUCCUAUCCAACCACUUUUUUUUUUCUUCUCUCUUAAUAGUUACAAGUCGUUGGACUUGUAUUUAACUAUUAGAUAUUUCUUGCGUGUUUUGCCUCUCUCGUCCGUCUCUCUCUCUGUUUCUCGUUCUUUCUUUCUUGUCAAACUGCGAUGCUAUCGAUCCUCCGGGAACGGUUUCGAUUACACGCGCGCCUUUCACGCAUCGGGAGGCCAAAGUUCAAGAUGAAAUGUUGGGGAUGGUGCGACGAUACGCCCACCACCCAACUUUCAAGCUGAAUUCUAUCCUGUUUGUUCCAGUAUAUCACGUAUGGUCGUCUGGUGCAAGAUUAUUGACUCAAAAAAAAUAUUCUUCUCUCUUUCUUUCCUGGAUUUGUUGUUUGAGAUUCGUCAAGGGCGUCCGCGCAAUCGACCGUAAUGUCAGACAAUCACGAGUAUAGUUAAUUAUGUCGUGCAACUUUUCAUAGAAAGCCCAUCGCUGUAAAGAGCUGGACUGAAACGUAAGAGGCCGCUCCUCAGCCUACGAAAUCGGCGAUGAAAUUCGAUCGUUGUGUGGCCCACCCUCAGCGACUUUCCACGAAAGCUGUGUGGACGGGCACCCGUCACAUUUCCCCCCCACUUUUUUUCGUUUCUUUUUUAGAUUUUUUUAUUUCUCUCUUUCCCCAGAAUUUGUAUGAACCGAGGGAGACGACGUCUCGUCUUUCUAAGUUAUUUUCUCGAUUUCCCAUUUUGGCCUCUCUCGUUCUCCGUUUACGAGCGUCCGAACGUGUGUGGCCCGUAGUCGCCAUUCCGCCCUCUAGAAUCGGAAAUAAUUCGAGGAAAUUUCUGUUUUCACGUAAUACAUAGACACGGCGAAAUGAAUCAGACUCAAGAACAUCCUUUUAUUUCGGGGUUAACCCAAAAUGACCCCCCAUUUCAUUAGCAGCCGAUGACAAAUUGAGUGGUUUAAAUUUUGCGGCAUGGGCGCGGUUUGCGCUUUUCCCUGUCAUCGGACGCGUCAGUCAUAAAAUCAGGGUGUAGGUGAAAGGGGUUGAAAGAGGGUUUUUAAAAAUUGGCGUUUCGUUUUUCGCGAAAUGAUGAGUUUUAAACUGACACGCCAGACGAGAAUCAAAUGUCUGAAUGAGCUCAUCUUCUCCUUUGUACUUUGUCAUCCUCGGGUGUGUGUAAGUCAAUCUUUUGUGGUGGAUGUUGUAUUUCCUCGUGCCAAUAUUGACAUUGCGUUUGUCUUUGGUCAAAACAAUCAUACAGUCAAGGAAGCAGGGUCAGAUAAACUGCGAGCAAAAGGGAAGAGCAAAUGAAAACGUGAAAAAAAGAACCAGAAAAAGGUGGAACAUUGAAACAGGAAGAAAAAGGAGAGCCGCUUGAGUAAACAUCAAGCCCUUCCUUUCAAUUGCUUAAAGAAGAAAAAAAAAAAUGACGUCAAAACAAGCAUUGACACGUGAAUAAUCAGAAAGACAACUACCAAACAAACACUAACCACAACGACGUUCGCACAACCGAAAAUCUUUUAAGUCUUUCUAUCACGUCUCAAGUUAAGUCAUCCAGUGGGGAAGUCAGAAAAAAAUGCUCCAGGUACUUUUAGUUAUCCCCAAACUGAAUUUGUGUUAAUCAUCCAACCGAGAGGGUGAUGCAUCUGAGAGCAUCUGAGAGAACUUCAUCUUCUCCUCUGUUCUUCUUCUUCUUUUUUUUUUGUUCCUUUCUUGUUUACGUUCUCGAUUUGAUGUUGAAUUUCUUCACCUGAUCGUUAGAAGCGAUUACAAAGCUUUUUCUAGCUGACCUUUUUUUUUUUAUCUUGAAAAAUCAGACACAUAAGGGGGUUUGUUCAUUGAAUCGUUCCAGCCGAUUAGUAGAUUUAUCUCUUAGUUUUCUUCUUAGUUCAGUGAAUCUCCAUAUCAGAAUAAAAAUUGUUUUCUUCUCUGUUUCAUGUAAUCAGCCGAAGGCGUCCCUCAUUGUUGUUAGUUUUCUCGUGUUGUUCACUCGGAGCGUGACCUCUUCACCUGUUUAGAGAAACGGGAAGAAAUCAACCGAUUUACAGUAUAUAUGAAACACACACACAAAAAUGAACCUCAAGGAGGCGCCAGCGGCUAUACGAAAAUCGUGCCUCUUCUGGGCCUAAGCUUUCUUAUAAAAUCGUAAAACCCUUACGUUUUUCACCUGACGUGACACAAAACGUAUAACAGCAGACAUCGUUGGAGCAAGCUUGGCUGUGGCGUCACUUUGACCCGACGAAAUCGCAAAGAGAUCUUGAACAUGGGUCUCAUUUUUUUUUCUGCCUCCAGUUGAUUGGGCAGCAUUACGAUGCUGCGGAUAUCUCGUUACAGCAUGCGCCGCGAUAUGUUCCCGCUUUCUCUUUCAUUCACUGCGUCCGACGAAACAAACGGCGAUCGACUCCCAUGUUAUCUUCAAGUUGGUUAAAUCAGCAGUAAUGUUAUAUUCGAGUAGCGUGCAGGGACUUAUCAACACGUCCAUGUGGGAAAGAAAAGGGAGAAAAUUGAAAUAAGGCAAAGGGGAUAGAGAAAUUCCAUUGGAAGCGCUGGAGAGGAAUCUGAAAGGUAUCGGCUGUUGGGAGGUCGUGACGACAGGUGUUCCAGCCUUCCGUGACCGACCAACCGAAGGCUGGCGGUAUGUAAGCCUGAGCUUGGCUAGAAUAACACAAAGACUUGACAAGUUUAACGCAAACAUAAACCAAACAACAACAAAAGACGUAUAGUAUCAUCAGAGCCUAUGCCGCAUCGUGCGGGUGUUGAUUGCAUGAUACGGCAACGCCGACAGAUUGUUUUACCAGAAGCUUUCCUCGAAAGCAACUGACCCUUUCGAUUCCUUUGAUUUUGCAAGACUUUGUGAUGCCAUCAGCAUGUUGUCCUAUAUCAGCCAUUUUGAACCCCAUCGUGUAAGUGAUUAUUUAAUAGGUUUAUUAUCACUAUAGGGGUUUUUUACUGAUGGUAGUCAGCAGUCACGAUAUUUACGUAAUACGACAGGUCCCAAGUAAAAGGGACUUCAGGAUACGAUCUCUUAUUGAAUUGUUAGAUCUUUAUGCGCUAUUGGCGUUUAGCGGGGUGCCAUUUUUCACGCUGUUCGGUUUCCAUUAAAUUUGACAUGCAUUGCCUGCGUCUGGAUGCGAUGGACGCUAUUAGCAUGAAUCACGGCCAUUCCUUAAAAAAAAAGCAAACUGUUGAACGUUGAACGAAGCGCGAGGAAAUCCAUUCAGUUAAAUGGAAGGCGCAUUAUUGAUGUGCACGAGCGGUUCACGAGCAUUCGAAGAGGUUGGGUUGUCGCUCUUAAAAAUAGCGCAGGCGGGAGCUCCAAGACCGUCGUCGGGAAAUACAAAACGAAAAAAUAAUCAUCGAAAGUGUGGAAGCCGAAUAUCUCCCGGAGCUUUCUUCACCCCGUUCGGGACCGUUACUUCAGGACUGGCUGAAAACAAAAAGAAAAACAAUAAGCUGCCUACAGUAGUAUUUAGAGCCAAGAAAUGCACAACGAGGAAGCAGCUGAGAAACGGAAAAGAGCCAAACUAAGAUCACCCAGAUUUUUUGUUUUUUGUUGGGUUUCCCGCGAGAGAUUGCGAUCGUAUACAGUCAGAGGAGAAAUAUGCAAAGAGUCUCAUCACUCGGCCGUGAGUGUCUUUCUGAACGCUAUAUUCUCUUUUAUUUUCGUUUCAGUUGUUGUUGAAUAGUUUUAAAAAGGAAGCGCAAUCAACAAAAAAAAGGAGGAGAGAUCCGAGCAACUUGGAAAACAAACAAGUCAAACAAAUUUUUCCCAUUUUCUUGCCGGCUCGGAUUGUUCACUUUGCUUCCCUGGAACAGCCUUUUGGCAAUUGACUCGUCUAGCCAUCCAUUCAGCUUGCGCUUAACAAAACAAAGCCUAAAAACAUUUUUGAAAGGCGUUUACAUUGAGCUCAUUAGUGGGUUGGUUCACUACAAUUUCGGUAGCCUUCCAACAGCCGCCAGCAUCCCGAACGGUUGGACAUGGCGUCUGCUUAUGUGUCGGGGUUGAGGUCGGAUGAUCGGCGCCAUCGCGUGCAAUCGAUGCCAGGGAUGUUAUAGAGAACGUUCCAAAGGUUGUUUCGUGUUGUCGUUCCAGUCAGUUGGUUUCCGCAGCAGCGCCGAGCCAGGAGACCACGUUCUUAUCACGUCGAUAUCGGGUGUUACGUAGGGCAACUAAAAAAGAAAAUGACGAAACCAAAAUGCAAGACGCGGAGGACGUACAGAAAAUCAAAAAAAAAAAAAGAACAACAAACAUAGAGACUGUUGGGCUUAUAAAGAUGGCUCACAAACAGCAGGGAUUUUACGUCGUCAUGCGAUCCGACGACCCAGUUUUCUUGCAAGAACUCUUCGGCGGCCAGUUGCUGAUGGCUCCAAUGUUCGGAAGCUCAGCGGUGGCCCGACCUCUGACCCCGCCGACUCGAACUGUUGAUGGAGUCGUUUUUCUCCCUUUUUAUUUUCGCCUUUUUCCCGCAGACGUGUAAACACCGAACAGCAUCGGCACCAGCUGAAAAGCUUUUUGUUUUGUUUUGACCCCUUCUCAUUUUCUCUAUUCAGUCAGCCUGCCUUUCGUCCAAUAUCCGUCCCAAUGAGUUUCAUUAAACUAACGUUGCAAACAAAAUCUAUAACUCAGUCAGCGGAGGGUGAACGCACCGAGAAGCGCUACCGGAUUCUUAUGCAGAUGAUCCAGGAAAAGAAAAGUAAAUGGUCCGCUAACUCUGCUCCUCUACUAUGUAUGCGGCGAGGAUUGCGUAUAAAUUACAUACUAAAUCCCCGACGUGAGGUUGGCUACGAAAUGCGUCUAAAAUACUAACAGAUGUGUAACACUCUAUAGAUCACGAACUGCUUCUCGUUCACCUUAGCGACCGAGGAAUAAACAAACAUCAUCGCACCCCAAAUGUGUUUUACCCAAACAAUGGAGGGUGAAAACGUGAAGGGUCGGGAGCGGAAGGUGCAGGCGUGAAUAGAACGCCACGCAUUAUAACCUUUAGUAGAAUUGAUUUCAAAAACCCACACGCAACGAUUGUGUGUAAGAUAGCGGAGGCAAAAUCUACCGGAUUUCGAAUGAAUCUCUUCGGGCCAGCAUUUUGUCUGGUGUCUUGAUUCGAAAAUGUUCCAUCACAGUCAACCGAAAAGGACGAGAUUGAAUGUGAUCUUUGAAACUGUUGUUUGUCUGUUGUCAGCGAUAGAGUUAUACGUAUGUGAUGUAUAGUAUAGAGGGGGGGUUUUUAAUUUGAAAAAAACAAACAAACUGGGGAUUGAAACUUAUGGUUGAACGCAGAACAAGAAUCUCCUUCUUGUGUUUGUAAAUGUUUUUCUUUGUUUUUGUGGCUUUUUUUCAAAACUCAAUCAAGAUUCCAUGAUCCAACCAUGAAGAAAGAAAA
This is a long non-coding RNA of Daphnia magna, 5755 nucleotides long. RefSeq lists it as uncharacterized. The record is from RefSeq and is a predicted model, not a curated record. Lineage: Eukaryota; Metazoa; Arthropoda; Branchiopoda; Diplostraca; Daphniidae. The transcript has 2 exons.